Molecule: long non-coding RNA, 4114 nt
Filed under: Salvia miltiorrhiza (redroot sage)
Lineage: Eukaryota; Viridiplantae; Streptophyta; Magnoliopsida; Lamiales; Lamiaceae
Description: long non-coding RNA (SMIL_LNC001126)
Source: RNAcentral
AGUAGACAAGAUUCAAGAAUUCGACACUCACCUUAGCAUCUUCUGUUCUCUUUGUAGUCCCAACUACAAUGGAAUCACGCAAACAUCAACCGAAUAGAUUUGUAAAAAAAUGAAGUUAACAGGAUACAAGCCUGCAAAUACUAUCUNGGUAGAGUGAUACCACGUACGUAAUAUCCAAACUCCCGCGGAUGCAUCCCAACUCAACCUGUGUAUGAUCAAUGAUUAACCAACAAACAUUAUGGAGUAUUAUACAUAGACAUACAAUACAAGGCGUUUGGGAUGCGUACCUGUAGAGCGUCAAUGGAGUCAGAAUCAACAUCCUUUACAGUCCAGUGUGAAGUAGCACUAGUGUUUGGAUUUGGCUGGGAGGAGAGAUUGUCGACCACCAAAGCGAUUCCGCCACGGGAGGAGGAGGAAGAAGGGGAAGGCGGAAGAGUGUGAAGGACCUCCUCGUAGCCAUCGUCCUUCCAGUAGACCUUGGGCUUGUAGGAAGUAAUGUGGCCAUUUGGAAUGUCGAGCUUCACGGAGCUUCCAUUUCUGACGCUCAGCUCAACCGUCGCCGAAUCUGAAAACUUUAUGCCUUUGCGUCCGAAUUUCUGGUCAAGACUCUCUGUCGCAGUUGCAGUUGCAGUUGAAGGCGCAGCACAAGCUUUAGCAGAUUUAAGGGGGGAGAAGGAUAGAAGCGAAGCCAUUCUCACUCACUCAACUCUCACAGAUUAAGCUAAGCAAGAGGAUCUCUCUCCACCAGCAAAUAUUUACCUCGUCCCAUCCCCUCUAUUUUUUGGAUAGACCCACCUCCGCCUCUUCCUGCACUUACUUACUAACUAACUAUUGUUUUUGUUUUUAUACUACCCCAAAUAUUACGCGUUUCAUCACAUAAUAUCUUAUUCUCUUCAAAACAACAAUUACGUUUAUUAUUUAUCUUCCAAAAAUGGGAUGACUCAUAUUUGUGAUACCAUGAUUAGUAUUAUUAUUAUUAUUAUUAUUUUUUAAAAUUGAAAAUAAAAUUUAUUAAUAUUAUUAAUUAUACUUAAUUUUAUUUAAAAAAAUUAUAUACCAUGAUUUCGAAUUUAACAACCUUGUAUAGUUGUAUUAACUAAUAAAAUUAAUAAUUAUAUAUCAUAAUUGGAUGAGAUAAACCCUAGUUAGUAAUUACAAUAAUAAAAUUGCAAAUGGUAGUGGAAUAUCAAAUGUAGUACAUUGGACCUAAAAUGCAAAAGUAUUAGUAGUAUACAAAUAAUUGAUCUUUUACUCGACUAAACUGCCAUUCAUCGCGGCAUAAGUAACUAAGUUGUGUAUAAAUCUAAAAUUGAAAGAAUAUUUUAGGAAAUCCUAGUAACCACCAUCUUCAAGAUAGAAAAGUUGUGCAAUUGUGGUGUUCAUGAUUCCAAGAAAAGCUCCUGUUAUUUUUACGGUUCUCCUGCCAUCUUCAGUCAUUUGAACAUAUGCAUCACUAUUUAUAGCAUUGCCAGAUAUCAAGAAUUUAAACAUGUGACCGGUUGGCCAGUACUGCGAAACCCAAGUUUCAAGUAAAUAAUAAAAACCAAGUCUUGAAAAAAGAAUCUUAACUUCCCUUUCCUCUUACUCAAACUCAACAUGUAAACUUAAAGCAUCCAUCCCACUUCCUUCCCUUGAGGCUGAGCGGAAUGCACAAACACAACCUAUUAGUCAUAUUAAGCAUUUUAAUUUCAAUAUAGCACCAAGAAUUCCAGUUAUACAAGAAAAAAAUAUUUGUCAACCAAACCACCAUCCUGUAGGUACGAACUAAAAGGUUAUAGCAUAAAUAUUACAAGAGGAACAUAACAAAAGAAAUUACUAAUAAGAUCACAUCACACCUCACUGGGUAUUUCAAAGAAUACGAGCAUUCAACUUCUGGAUUUGACUUGUAAUGCUCAUGAAGCCAUGCAUACCACUCUCUCUGGAGGAGUAUGUAUCCUUAUUUUGUGGCGUGAGCCCCUUACUCCACCGCCUCUCAGCUCGAUCACUGCCACUUCUUUCCAGACUGCCAUCCACAGUUUCCUCAUAAUUUUCUCUCAUGGCUCACUUAUUGUCAUCAGUGCAAACAAAAACACAAGGUGAUGCAGGUAGAAGCGUGAAAUAUAUUUGAUAUUGAUAAUUAUACGAACUCCGUUGAUAACCAUUGUAUGCCGGAAUACGUACAAUAAGGGUUAAUCCGUUGAUUCACUCAUGAAUACCGGAAGAACACAAUGAGAAGGGAACAAUCCCACCCUCUGUUAGAACCGGGUACACGAUCGAGAUAUUACAAUAUAAAUAUUUUGAGAAAUUACAACUCAAAAUAAUUGAAAUAUUACAAAGUAAAUAAUUUGAGAAAUUACAACCCAAAUAAUUUGAUACAACUGAAAUACACUGUAUAAAUAAAUUAUACGUAUAAACAAAGUCGAGUCGAGAUGAAUCUCUUCCCGCAAGAAGAUUAUCGCCCCGGUAGUGCUCUUCGGUUUGGCGUAUCUUCCCCAAAGGUAAAACGACUACGUCUCGGCGGAUGUAGCACCACAAUCCGGCGAGCUCCGGCGAACUAAAUAGGAUCAAGAACUGAGCACAAGUUUUUGCAGAGAGUGUUGUAUGUAAAUGGCAGAAUGCAGGAUUUUGUAGUGUAUUUCUGCAUGCUCUCCAUAGGCCUAUUUAUAGGCAUGUGGUGAGUAUGAAUUCAAUUCAUUGAAUUCAACUCCGGUGGCUGGAAGCUGUAAACGUUGAAGAGGUGGCCGGUGGGCGCAGCUAAUGAAGAAAACUUAGCUGCAAAAUUGAAUACGCAUGCAGAAGUCGUAACAGGCGUGCUUCUGAAACUGCUGCUGCUGUCAACUGCUGCUGUGACUGUUGCUGUGGGCUUGGGAAUUAAUUCAGUUGGGCCAAGAAAAUAAUUCUGUUGGGCCAAAAAUUAAAAGCCCAAUGGAGUUGGUCCAAAAAAUAGUUUUGGGCCCCAAACACCACCCCAAAGCACCAAUUGCCAAGAUCCAAGUCCUUGGCCGCGGCCCGUACCCGACCCGCCCGUCCGGCGGCGGCGGCGACGACGUCGUCGUCCGUCCGAUCGAUCGUCGGCGGCGGCGCGCGUGUGUGUGUGCGCGCGAGGCUAGUACUUAGAUCAAGCCCACUAGCAAGCCCACGAGUCAAUUUAUCAACUCCAUGUGCUUUGCUAUUCUUAUACAUGAAAAACAUCUCUAUGUUUUCCAAUGUGGGAUAACAUAACAAAUGUUAUUUUCCCUCUUCAACAUCCAAACUUUGACAUACAAUAUCUCACUCAUCGGAAAUCGGUUUUGAGACUUCAAGUAUAUCACGUUGAUCUACUCGAGAUGUAGAUUAACAUCCAAUCAUUAUUUUAAUUAAAUAAUAAAUAUUUAAUUAAAUAAUAAUUUUCAGAUAUGGCUUAAAACCAUAUUUCCAACAAUCCCCCACAUGAGUGAGAAAUCAGUAUGUGAAAGUGUGCAAACACUUAGCUCAGUCCUCUUAAGAUACAACAUUGCAUUUGGAAAGGUAGCUUGUGGCUUUGAACCUGCCAUAGUCAAUAUUAUCGAGUAUNCACCUUAGCAUCUUCCGUUCUCUUUGUAGUCUCAACUACAAUGGAAUCACGCAAACAUCAACCGAAUAGAUUUGUAAAAUAUUGAAGUUAACAGGAUACAAGCCUGCAAAUACUAUCUAGCCACUCAACAUAAAUAUUAAAAGGGAGAUUUGGAUGGUACAUUCAUUCUCUCGCCCAAAUUGUUUGCUAAUUAUAUCCUCUUAUCUCACAUUUACCGUUUCUGAAACUAAAUUCUUCCAAAAUCUCAAUUGUCUGACUGAAGGAAAUAGUGACAAUUUCAAUAUACUAAUGUAUAGCGGUGUUAAAGUUUGUGGAAAAACGAAAAUUCUGUAAAUCCUAAAACCGGAUCGAGCAGGACAGAAAGGGGAAAGAGAGAAACCGUUUUAGGGCGGAGGGAGGUAGGAAGCCUCUUUCAAUUUCAACAGAGAAAGCCCUAGAAGGCGGACUCGGAUCUUCUUUACCCAAUUCUUCAUUUCGAAUGUGGUCUGCAAUAUUUUUUACUCCUAAAAUGAUUUCUUGUGAAUUUUCACUAACUUCAACGGAUCAAUUUAAGGUUGGGUGUCGUCACUCGUUAUUCCACAA